UUGAACGCUGGCGGCAUGCCUAACACAUGCAAGUCGAACGCGAAAGAGGAGCAAUCCUUGAGUAGAGUGGCGGACGGGUGAGUAAUACGUAGGAAUCUGCCUUAGAGUGGGGGACAACCGCGCGAAAGCGUGGCUAAUACCGCAUAAUAUCUUCGGAUUAAAGGGGGCUAGCAAUAGCUCUCGCUCUAAGAUGAGCCUACGCCGGAUUAGCUAGUUGGUAGGGUAAUGGCCUACCAAGGCAACGAUCCGUAGCUGGUUUGAGAGAACGACCAGCCACACUGGAACUGAGAUACGGUCCAGACUCCUACGGGAGGCAGCAGUGGGGAAUAUUGGACAAUGGGGGAAACCCUGAUCCAGCAAUGCCGCGUGUGCGAUGAAGGCCUGCGGGUUGUAAAGCACUUUCGUUGGGGAAGAAAUACUUGUAGCUAAUACCUGCAAGGGUUGACGUUACCCAAAUAAGAAGCACCGGCUAACUCUGU
This 479-nucleotide ribosomal RNA is filed under the name uncultured bacterium. Its description in RNAcentral is "bacterial SSU rRNA". It matches the Rfam family "Bacterial small subunit ribosomal RNA", at positions 30 to 506 of the family's 1533-position model. The record is from RNAcentral.